This 253-nucleotide ribosomal RNA is filed under the name uncultured bacterium. RNAcentral's name for it is "partial 16S ribosomal RNA". It matches the Rfam family "Bacterial small subunit ribosomal RNA", at positions 524 to 776 of the family's 1533-position model. The record is from RNAcentral.
UACGGAGGGGGCUAGCGUUGUUCGGAAUUACUGGGCGUAAAGCGCACGUAGGCGGCUUGGUAAGUUAGAGGUGAAAGCCCGGAGCUCAACUCCGGAAUUGCCUUUAAGACUGCCGAGCUAGUAGGUGAGAGAGGUAAGUGGAAUUCCGAGUGUAGAGGUGAAAUUCGUAGGUAUUCGGAAGAACACCAGUGGCGAAGGCGGCUUACUGGCUCAUUCUAGACGCUGAGGUGCGAAAGCGUGGGGAGCAAACAGG